Molecule: ribosomal RNA, 383 nt
Filed under: uncultured bacterium
Lineage: Bacteria
Description: bacterial SSU rRNA
Rfam family: Bacterial small subunit ribosomal RNA
Source: RNAcentral
GACGAACGCUGGCGGCGUGCUUAACACAUGCAAGUCGAGCGGUAAGGCCCUUUCGGGGGUACACGAGCGGCGAACGGGUGAGUAACACGUGGGUGACCUGCCCUUAGCUCUGGGAUAAGCCCGGGAAACUGGGUCUAAUACCGGAUACGACUCCGCGGUGCAUGCUGUGGGGUGGAAAGCCUUGUGCGGCUGGAGAUGGGCCCGCGGCCUAUCAGCUUGUUGGUGGGGUGAUGGCCUACCAAGGCGACGACGGGUAGCCGGCCUGAGAGGGCGACCGGCCACACUGGGACUGAGACACGGCCCAGACUCCUACGGGAGGCAGCAGUGGGGAAUCUUGCGCAAUGGGCGAAAGCCUGACGCAGCGACGCCGCGUGAGGGAUGAC